This 433-nucleotide ribosomal RNA is filed under the name uncultured bacterium. RNAcentral describes it as "partial 16S ribosomal RNA". It matches the Rfam family "Bacterial small subunit ribosomal RNA", at positions 29 to 507 of the family's 1533-position model. The record is from RNAcentral.
AACGAACGCUGGCGGCAUGCCUAACACAUGCAAGUCGAACGAGACCUUUGGGUCUAGUGGCGCACGGGUGCGUAACGCGUGGGAAUCUGCCCUUGGGUUCGGAAUAACAGUGAGAAAUUGCUGCUAAUACCGGAUGAUGUCUUCGGACCAAAGAUUUAUCGCCCAGGGAUGAGCCCGCGUAGGAUUAGCUAGUUGGUGGGGUAAUGGCCUACCAAGGCGACGAUCCUUAGCUGGUCUGAGAGGAUGAUCAGCCACACUGGGACUGAGACACGGCCUAGACUCCUACGGGAGGCAGCAGUGGGGAAUAUUGGACAAUGGGCGCAAGCCUGAUCCAGCAAUGCCGCGUGAGUGAUGAAGGCCUUAGGGUUGUAAAGCUCUUUUACCAGGGAUGAUAAUGACAGUACCUGGAGAAUAAGCUCCGGCUAACUCCGUG